This 486-nucleotide ribosomal RNA is filed under the name uncultured bacterium. Its description in RNAcentral is "partial 16S ribosomal RNA". It matches the Rfam family "Bacterial small subunit ribosomal RNA", at positions 28 to 523 of the family's 1533-position model. The record is from RNAcentral.
GAUGAACGCUGGCGGCGUGCUUAACACAUGCAAGUCGAACGGAAAGGCCUCAGCUUGCUGGGGUACUCGAGUGGCGAACGGGUGAGUAACACGUGGGUGAUCUGCCCUGCACUUUGGGAUAAGCUUGGGAAACUGGGUCUAAUACCGAAUAUGACCACUUCUUGGUUGUUGUGGUGGAAAGCUUUUGCGGUGUGGGAAGAGCCUGCGGCCUAUCAGCUGGUUGGUGGGGUAAUGGCCUACCAAGGCGGCGACGGGUAGCCGAGCUGUGAGGGUGUACGGACACAUUGGGACUGAGAUAUGGACCAGACUCCUACGGGAGGCAGCAGUGGGGAAUAUUGAACAAUGGGCGCAAGCCUGAUGCAGCGACGCCGCGUGGGGGAUGAAGGCCUUCGGGUUGUAAACUCCUUUCGCUAUCGACGAAGCCACUUGUGGUGACGGUAGGUAGAUAAGAAGCACCGGCUAACUACGUGCCAGCAGCCGCGGUGA